RNAcentral lists this ribosomal RNA (2457 nucleotides) under Proteus mirabilis. Its description in RNAcentral is "bacterial LSU rRNA". It matches the Rfam family "Bacterial large subunit ribosomal RNA", at positions 588 to 2925 of the family's 2925-position model. Lineage: Bacteria; Pseudomonadati; Pseudomonadota; Gammaproteobacteria; Enterobacterales; Morganellaceae. The record is from RNAcentral.
AUGGGGUGACUGCGUACCUUUUGUAUAAUGGGUCAGCGACUUAUAUUCUGUAGCAAGGUUAACCGUAUAGGGGAGCCGUAGGGAAACCGAGUCUUAACUGGGCGAAUGAGUUGCAGGGUAUAGACCCGAAACCCGGUGAUCUAUCCAUGGGCAGGUUGAAGGUUGGGUAACACUAACUGGAGGACCGAACCGACUAAUGUUGAAAAAUUAGCGGAUGACUUGUGGAUGGGGGUGAAAGGCCAAUCAAACCGGGAGAUAGCUGGUUCUCCCCGAAAGCUAUUUAGGUAGCGCCUCGUGAACUCAUCUUCGGGGGUAGAGCACUGUUUCGACUAGGGGGUCAUCCCGACUUACCAACUCGAUGCAAACUGCGAAUACCGAAGAAUGUUAUCACGGGAGACACACGGCGGGUGCUAACGUCCGUCGUGAAGAGGGAAACAACCCAGACCGCCAGCUAAGGUCCCAAAGUCAUGGUUAAGUGGGAAACGAAGUGGGAAGGCUCAGACAGCCAGGAUGUUGGCUUAGAAGCAGCCAUCAUUUAAAGAAAGCGUAAUAGCUCACUGGUCGAGUCGGCCCGCGCGGAAGAUGUAACGGGGCUAAACCAUGCACCGAAGCUGCGGCAGCGAACGUAUCACUUAAAUUUGUUUGAGUGAAUAACGAUUGACGGAACGAAGUGACGUCAAUGCGUUAAUGAAAGUCGAGGCGAAAGCACGACAAAGCGAAUUUAAGGAUACGUUCGUUGGGUAGGGGAGCGUUCUGUAAGCCUGCGAAGGUGUACUGUGAGGUAUGCUGGAGGUAUCAGAAGUGCGAAUGCUGACAUAAGUAACGAUAAUGCGGGUGAAAAACCCGCACGCCGGAAGACCAAGGGUUCCUGUCCAACGUUAAUCGGGGCAGGGUGAGUCGACCCCUAAGGCGAGGCUGAAAAGCGUAGUCGAUGGGAAACGGGUUAAUAUUCCCGUACUGGUGGUAACUGCGAUGGGGGAACGGAGAAGGCUAGGUUGUCCGGGCGACGGUCGUCCCGGUUCAAGCAGGUAGGCAGAGUGAUUAGGCAAAUCCGGUCACUUAAUGCUGAGAUGUGAUGACGAACCACCAAGGUGGUGAAGCAAUUGAUGCCCCGCUUCCAGGAAAAGCCUCUAAGCUUCAGGUUACCAACAAUCGUACCCCAAACCGACACAGGUGGUCAGGUAGAGAAUACUCAGGCGCUUGAGAGAACUCGGGUGAAGGAACUAGGCAAAAUGGUGCCGUAACUUCGGGAGAAGGCACGCUGGCGGUAGGUAAAGUCCCUCGCGGACGGCGCUGAAGCCAGUCGAAGAUACCAGCUGGCUGCAACUGUUUAUUAAAAACACAGCACUGUGCAAACACGAAAGUGGACGUAUACGGUGUGACGCCUGCCCGGUGCUGGAAGGUUAAUUGAUGGGGUUAGCGUAAGCGAAGCUCCUGAUCGAAGCCCCAGUAAACGGCGGCCGUAACUAUAACGGUCCUAAGGUAGCGAAAUUCCUUGUCGGGUAAGUUCCGACCUGCACGAAUGGCGUAAUGAUGGCCAGGCUGUCUCCACCCGAGACUCAGUGAAAUUGAACUCGCUGUGAAGAUGCAGUGUACCCGCGGCAAGACGGAAAGACCCCGUGAACCUUUACUAUAGCUUGACACUGAACAUUGAGCCUUGAUGUGUAGGAUAGGUGGGAGGCUUUGAAGUGUGGACGCCAGUCUGCAUGGAGCCAACCUUGAAAUACCACCCUUUAACGUUUGAUGUUCUAACCUAGGCCCAUAAACUGGGUCGGGGACCGUGUCUGGUGGGUAGUUUGACUGGGGCGGUCUCCUCCUAAAGAGUAACGGAGGAGCACGAAGGUUGGCUAAGCAUGGUCGGACAUCAUGCGGUUAGUGCAAAGGCAUAAGCCAGCUUGACUGCGAGAGUGACGGCUCGAGCAGGUACGAAAGUAGGUCUUAGUGAUCCGGUGGUUCUGAAUGGAAGGGCCAUCGCUCAACGGAUAAAAGGUACUCCGGGGAUAACAGGCUGAUACCGCCCAAGAGUUCAUAUCGACGGCGGUGUUUGGCACCUCGAUGUCGGCUCAUCACAUCCUGGGGCUGAAGUAGGUCCCAAGGGUAUGGCUGUUCGCCAUUUAAAGUGGUACGCGAGCUGGGUUUAGAACGUCGUGAGACAGUUCGGUCCCUAUCUGCCGUGGGCGUUGGAAGAUUGAGAGGGGUUGCUCCUAGUACGAGAGGACCGGAGUGAACGCACCACUGGUGUUCGGGUUGUCAUGCCAAUGGCAUUGCCCGGUAGCUAAGUGCGGAAGAGAUAACCGCUGAAAGCAUCUAAGCGGGAAACUUGCCUCGAGAUGAGUCUUCCCUGUCGCUUUAAGCGACCUAAAGGAACGUUUAAGACUAAGACGUUGAUAGGCUGGGUGUGUAAGCGUAGCGAUACGUUGAGCUAACCAGUACUAAUGAACCGUGAGGCUUAACCUG